AUAACUGAGAGAAGUUGUUUGCAUAUCAAGAGGAAUUUGUCAUUAUUAUCUGUAAUUUUGAAGAUGUUACUAAUUGAGUAGUGUAUGAAGUUUCAAAUUUGAGUUUUUAAUUGUAAUUAUAAAAAAAAAAUAGAGAUUAAUUAAUUUGAUCAAUUGCUUUACACCUUUUCACAAAAAAAUAUUGAUACUGGGCAUUCUUACUAUUGAUAAUUAACGUUUUUAAAAUUCAAAUACACAUGUUUGUCUUAGGGAAUAUUUUGCUUCAAUUUUCUUUCACUGAAAAAUGCUAACUUUAGGCUCAGGCAAUGCCUGCUCACCAUUUAACAUCUCUUGUACACAAUACUGGACGCACAAUAGACCCCCAUCAUUGAUUGUCUUCUAUCGUAAUUGUAUUAAACAUUUUUUAUAAGGGUAAAUAAUAG
Molecule: unclassified non-coding RNA, 422 nt
Filed under: Hevea brasiliensis (rubber tree)
Lineage: Eukaryota; Viridiplantae; Streptophyta; Magnoliopsida; Malpighiales; Euphorbiaceae
Source: RNAcentral